GCUGUUCCCACUGAAUGCACCCUUAGCCCUGUGCUCCACAAGGGGCCUGCAAAAUGCAGGAUCUCACUAAGCUUAAAGAAAACCAGGAAUUUCAGAGACGAACAAGAAAGAGGAGUGCUCCUCUGAAGUGAAUCAGUCCCUGCAAUCCAGCACAUAUUCGACGAGACACACACAGAGGGAAGACAGUGUGAGGAUGCAGGGAGAAGCUGACCAUCUACCAGACAAGCACAGAGGACUCAGAGGAAGCCGAUCCUGCCGACACCCGGACCUCAGACUUCCAGCCUCCAGAACGUAAGGAAAAUGAGAAACAGAGAACCUAAGCAAGUUUUAAAUUGGAGAAGUUGACAGAAAAAAGAUGCAAGAACAUCAUAAAAUAUUUUAUCAAAAUUCUUCAAUUUUCAGAUAAACUGAGGUCAAAGAGCAUAAGCGUCUUGAUUAUUUUAACACAGCUCAGUAAAGACAGUGUGAGGGUGUAAAUCCAUGUCUUUUGAGUUGAGGGGCCAUUGCCUUUUCUUGUAUAUUAUGCUGAAUUUAAAGCACAGAGCCUACAUUUGGGAAUGGUUUAAAGGAGUGCAUUUCAAACUUUUUUUGGAUCAUGAUCCAUAUUAUUCAUCAUAUAUUACAUCUGCACCCAUAUAUAAUACAAAAAUAUAUAAAUAUAUAACCAAAGCAAAAGUUUUAUGAAGCAAUACUUACUACACAUGACACAUUCUAAUAUUUUUAUUUGUUUUAUAUUCUGUUUAGUUUAAAAAUAUUCUGGGCACAUCUAUUUCUGGCAAAGGUAGAAUAGCUUGUUUUGACCAACCUCCCACUGAGAAAGAACAAAGAAAUGGAAAAAAUAUUUUUAAGAAAUUUAUUUGCCAGCAUUAGAGAUACCAAAGCAGUGAAAGCUUAGUGGCCAAAAUCCAAGAGAGAAGGGAACCCCCCAAAAACGAGCCCUAUGUUUGCUGCUCCCUUUGAGGCAAUAUUAUAAUUAUUCUAAAAGUGAAAAUAGCAAAUAAGAGCCUGAGAAGCUGAGCAGAACUUUUGGCAUCUCUAUGAGGCAGGGGCAAAAAUUGAUAUUCAGUAAUCACCAAGGAAAUAGGGCCACAGAAAACACCCCAGACUUUCAGGUGAGAUCUUCAAAUACUGUACCCUAGAAUACAAGUGAAUCAGAAAUAGACCAGCUCUCACAAGUGCUAAAGAUCAAUUUCAAAUCAACUCAGUCUCAAAUUGUUUGAAAGUAAUCUGUGUCCACCCUGACUGCUUGCCUUAAGCAUAAGUAAACUGAAGAUAACAUAUUGAAUCUCAAAACAUGUUUUAUACAAAAUAUGGACAUUCAAUUAAAAAUGAUCUGGCAUACAAAAAUACAAGAAUAGACCAGAAACCAAGAAGAUAAAAAAAUUACACAAUAGAAACAUUCCCAAAGGAGACCCAGAUACUGAAAUGAUCAGAAUUGGAUUUUAAACUAUGAUUUGCACAUUCAAGAAGUUUAAAAACAGGAUGAAAAAUAGGCCAGAGAAAUGCAAACUACAAAG
This 1517-nucleotide long non-coding RNA is filed under the name Homo sapiens (human). RNAcentral's name for it is "HSALNT0023662". Lineage: Eukaryota; Metazoa; Chordata; Mammalia; Primates; Hominidae. The record is from RNAcentral.